UGAGAAUCAACUGAACAUACCUUGUUCUUGGCACCAGAUUGGUUCCCUCCUCUGUCAGAGGAGAUUUCUCUCCUGUGUUACAUAUGUCCUUAGGUAUGUAUGUAUUCUUAUUAAAGAUAUUGAGUACCUCUGUGGUUUUUUUUUUUUUUGGUACCGGGGAUUGAACUCAGGUCCUUCCGCUUGCGUGGCAGGUGCUGGAACCACUGAGCUACAUCCCCGGCCCCUACUUCUGUGUUUUUGACUUGCAUAAGUGGAACUAUGCUAUAAAUUUCAUUCAUUUUUCAUUCAGCACUUUCAGACAUUCAUGAAAAUUGACAGACUUUUUCUCAACAUUUUAUUUGUGAGAUUCAUGCUGUUACAGGUUUAUCCAGAUGCAUGGCUAUGGCUGCUGCUUUGUAGGGCUGGUCAGAUAAGUAUCUACUAUAUAUUUUUUUUUUUGUACUAGGGACCAAACUCAGGACCUUGUGCUUGUGAGGCAGGCGGUGGAACCACUGAGCUAAAUUCCCGGCCGUCUACUACAUUUUCUUACCCAUUUUCCAAGUGCUGGAUGCUUAUCUCCACAGAUGUUUCUUGCUUAUUCUAGAUAGAAACCUCAUCCUGUCACCUGCCUAUUAACUUUGUCAAUGGUAGGUAACUUAAAAUUUUUAUUUAAUUUUCUAAAGUCCAGAUCUAUUAAAUUUUUGCCUUAUGUUGCAGUUUAACAAUCUUAAUAUGAUCUUUCUCACCCUAGCAGUACAAAGAUAAUCAAUAUUCUGUCAUCUUUCUCAUUUUACUGUUCACAUUGAGGGCUUUAAUCUCUUUGACAUUCAUCUUCAUAUUUGGCAUAAGGAAGAUAUACAGCUUAAUUUUUUCCUUAAUGUUUUGUGAGAUACUUUUCCCAUAUCAUCCAUUAAAUAGUGUGUUGUUCCUUCAUAUUUUUUUUGGAGCAAUUUUUCUCAUACAUAAGGUUCUCGUAUAUACAUAUGAGUCUGCUUUUUUAACUGAGUUAUGUGUAUAAACCAAAUACAUUUAAAGCGUGUAAUUUGAUUAUUUUUGACAGGUGUGCAUUCCUGGGAAAGCACCAUAGUCAAAAUACAGAGCAUUUCUAUCACCUCCGAGCUACUCUUGGGCCCCUUUGUAGUCCAUCUCCUCCUUUAAUCCUCAGACUGAAUCAACUACUGUAGUUUCUAGAAAUUUAUAUUAUACAGUAUGUGUGUGGUUCCUUUCACUCAGCAUGAUUUUAAAAUAAUUUUCUUUCUAAUUGUGCUAAAAUAUACAGAACAAAAUUUAUAAUGUAACCAUUUUUAAGUGUAUAAUUCAGUGAUAUUAUGUACAUUCAUACUGUUGUGCAGUCAUCAACAUUAUGUAUCCCCAGGACAUUGUUAUUAUCCCAAACUGAAACUGAUCCCGUUAAGCUCAACCUGCUGAAUUUGAGAUUCUUCUUGAAGGUCUGUUUUUUGUUUGUUUUUGUCCUCUGUUUUGUUCCAGUCCUCUGUCUGAUUCAGUGCCAAAUUCUUAUUUCUUUAUUAUAGCUUUGCAGCCUGUUUAUAUGGCUGGAUGAGCCCCACUUUAGCUCUUUGUCAAACCUUGGCUUGAGUAUGCAUGGCUCUUUGUUAUUCUGGGUAUAUUUUGGAUUGCCUGUUAAGUUCUCAAGGCAGUCUAGGAAACGUGAUUGGCAUUGCAUUGGAUUUGUCUCACAUGGGCUGAACUAACAUCUUUUUCCUCUUGAGAUUAUAAUUUUAUCCAUGAAUAUAGUCUCCUGUCUUUUAAAAUAACUUAUACAGUUUACAGUUUUCUCUGUCCUAUCGUUAGUUUGGGUUUUGGGGAUUGAAUACAAGGUCACAAGGUUUUGUGGAUGCUAAGUACAUGCUCUGCCACUGAGUUACACCCCCGGCUUAUAAUAUAUUUUUAAAUAAAAGUAAUGUGUUAUUUUAGGGAGAAUUUAAGGUAGGGAGAGCAGGGGCUUUUGGGUUAGGUCUUCAAAAUAUCUUCACACAUUAACCUUGAGUGACAUUGGUCAGGUUACUCCCCCUUGUGGCUCCAGUUCCUCCUUCCUCAAAGUAGGACAACAGCACCUCCCUUGUGAGGAAGCCGCCCAGGGGUUUAGAAGGGAUAAUGUUGGAGACACUUGGAGUACAGACCUUGAAACAGUGCUGCUCUGUGAAUGUUGAUGUCAUGCCUCCCCUAACACUGGCUUUAAAUAGCAUACACUUCAUAUUUUUAUCUGCUUCUAAGGACUGAUAACAACUAUCAGAAAAGCAAACUGAAUGAGCCAACCAGUUCACAGUGUAACACUCUCCAAAGCUACAUAUGCAUAUCGAUGCUUCUGCCUAGUUUCAUUGGAUUUUUCAGAAAAUAUGGAUACUUCCAAAGAAUUUUACACUCUAGUGGGGAGGAAUAUACAACUAAUAUACAAGGAACAAUUAGAGAACUUUAUCUGACAGAUGGUAUAUAAUUAGGGUUAAGUGGUGUAGUGCUAGGGGAGUUACAGGAAGAGAGGAAUCCUGCUCUGUGAGUUUUCAUUUGACUUGAGUGAAAUGAGAUCAGAGAGGAGAGAAAAGGGAGGAGAAACCAAAUAUAAUGAACAUUAUGUCAGAAGCUUGAGGGCCCAGUGUUGAACCCCAUGGCAGUAGAUUUUGUGCUGGGAUGUAGGUGUCUUAAAAGCACUGUCUUUGGAGCUACAGUCCUUGGGUUUGGAUCUUGGCCUCACCACGUAGGAGUUGUAAAACCUUAGGCAGGUUAUAUAGACCUCCUGUGCCUCAGUUUCCUCACCUCUUCAGUGGUAUAUUAACAGCAGGUACCUUACAACUUUGUUGUGAGAAUUAUGUAAGUUAGCAUUUGUAAGGCACGGAAUGCCUGGCACAAGUUGUAACAUCAGGUUUAUAUCACUGUGACAGUAUACCUGAGAUACUUUUUUUUUUUUGAGACAAGGUCUCACUCUGUAGUUCAGGCUGGUCUUGAACUCCCUGUGUAACUAUAGUGGCUCUAACUUGUGUCAGUCCUCCUACCUUAGCCUUCCCAAUUCUGGUAUUACAGGGUGCACCACCACGCCUGGCUUGAUACAUCCUUUAAGGAAGAAAUAUGUAUUUUGGCUUAUGGUUUCAGAGGUUUCAGUCCAGGGUUCUUGGCGUGUGUUGAGGCAGUACAUCAUGGCAGGAUUGUAUAAGGGAAGAAGUUGCUCACCUAAUGGUAGUUGGGAUGCAAAAGAGACAGUAAGGGUUCAGGCUCCCAAUGUCCCCUUCAAGGCCAUACUCCCAAUAACCACCUUCCUACCAGUAGGCCCUCCCUCCUAAAGAUUCUACUUCUUCAUGAUAGCAACACAGGCUGGUAGCCAAGCCUUUGACAUACAGGCUUUUGGGGGUCAUUCAUGAUUCCAAGUAUAGCACAAGGUAAGCAUACUAUAGAUGUUAGCUAUUAUUAUGACUUCUUUUGUAUAUAUUUACUGCAUUCUUCCUGUAUCUCUCUUGAAGUGUUUGAGGCUUUAUGCCCCAGAGUUAUUGGCUUUUGUUCAGAGACUUGGUUGGGGACUAUACAGUCCAAUAGUCUGCACAUUUGUGGGUGUGCAGUGGACACUCAGGAUGAAGACUGAACAAGUAAAUACUUGAUGACAGUGGAGUCAGGUGCCAUCUCUGUCAUUCUGAUAUCUUCAGAGCUCUGGAAUGGAGUGGGUAGCAAAAGUCAGGUGGCAAGUGUACAAGAAGUAAGUUUUAUUUUGCAGUAUUCUUAUUAGACCUUUCAGUAGCAGUAUAGUAAAUUAUAGGGAUUCACAUACAUGACAGACACUUUUUAAGUCCUUAGUCUUUAUGAGAUAGGUGAUAUUAUCUCUUUUAGAGACAAGAGAGUGAGGCACAAGUAAUUUGUCUAGGAAAGUAGAAGAAAUGCCCUCAAAGAGGUUAGUGUUUGGGGCCCUUGCCAGUUGGCAAAAACAAGUAGGUACUGUUGGUGAGGAGCCACUAUGGUCACAUAAAGAGCUGUGAAACACAGGUUAGCCCAGCUGUGUGUUCCCAUGACCUUGAAUGUUUAUCAGCCUAAGCCAGUAGUUCUCAAAUUUCAGUGUGUAUUAGAAUCACCUGGAAGUCUGGUUCUAGCACCCAAUGCCAGGCCCCAACCCCCAGAGCUAGUGAGGCAUGUAGCUUGGGGCAGGUGGUGGCUGGUAGUUUACAUGUUAACACAUUCCCAGGUGCUGCUGUUGCUGGUCUGGGGAAACACUUUGAGAACCACUGCUACCAGGAAUAGUGUUCCUCUUCUAGUUACAGUCAGGUGAGGUGAGUUCAGAUGUGCUUUCUAGCCCGUGAAACAGGGUCCUGUUCACCCAGAAUGCAGAACAGCUUCUGACCCAGUACAGAGCAAAAACUUGCUGCCUGGCUUGCCACUGUUUAAUAUGGCUCAGGAACUGUUAUAACCCAGAGUAGAGAGAAAACUGAAAAUGUAAGUCUAGAUUCAUCAGCAGCAUAACAUGCCAUGAAUGCAUCCCAUCAGGAAGGUGACAUGACUUAUUUUCAUUUUGUUGCUUUUCAUCUUCCCUCCCAUAGGGCAAAGAGGGUAGGAUAGGCUUUUUGCCCACCAUUUUAUUGCCAUGGCAAAAUUGUGGGACCAAGAAAUUAACAAUGUUCAGAUACAUAGCCUGACAGUGGAGAAGCAGAAGAUAAUCUUACUUGACUGGUUUAAUUGUAGUGGAAAGCUGUGUUUAUAGGACAGAGAAAGCUUGGUACCUCUCUCUAGCAGCUGUAGGUAGGAUAGCUACCAUGUACAAAGCUUAGUGCAGUACUGUACUGACACACCCCAAGUCCUCAAGAAAUGUGAAUGGCCGUGAUUAUUAUAGCGUGCUUGGUGUUUGCCGUUCAGAUUUCAUUUUAGCUGAAUGAUGUUAUAUAUAAAACCAUGGAAUUAAGGAACUUUUAUAAUUGAGAGGUUUGUAAGAUCCUGCAUUUUAGAUUAACUCAAAGAAUAACAGUACAAGUAAAUGGUAUUUGGGGAGAAACUCCAGCCCAGAUUUUUCCCUUCACUAUCUGUCAGAGUUGUCUUGUGACUCUGGCAGCCUAUAAAAGCUUGUUUGCCUGGGCAGAGGAUGCAGCAGGGCAGAGAGAGGAGAUUGUCAGGGAAGACUGAGGAGGCUGUAAAAACCUGGAUAAGGAUGAGAGACUCUCAGGCCCAGGCUUUUUUUUUUUUUUAAUAACAGGAGCAUCCAGCAGUGAUAAAUGUGAGAGUGGGCCAUCUGCUAGGUGCCCUGUGAGCUUUGGGAUCUGGGCCCUUGAGGGUUCAGUGGUAGAGCCAGAUGUCC
This is a long non-coding RNA of Heterocephalus glaber (naked mole-rat), 5260 nucleotides long. NCBI's taxonomy places the organism in Eukaryota, Metazoa, Chordata, Mammalia, Rodentia, Bathyergidae. The record is from Ensembl.